CUUGGGUGAGCUGUUAAGCAUGAUACUUACUAAAGGUCUUUUUCAUUAAGGAAAAAGGGUCAUUCACACUAGGGAAGAGAGUUUCCUCCAUACGAAUGGAUGGAUGAUUGCUGGUUAAUCUAGAGUCAAAACAUAAUGCACCUCCUUUUCUAAAAGUUAUCUGCACAAAGCUAUUUGGGAAGAAUCAAAAAGAAAAAAAGGCUGCUAUAUGUUUAAAAAGGGUUUGUACCAUGAUAUGUAGCUUACAUUUGGACUAUGUGCUAGCAGUAUUUGGUUAAACAUUCGACUAAAUCUUCUCCAAAGUGUCAUUCAUGAUUAUAGGGCAUCACAAAGCCUGACAUUUGUCAUUAUCAGUGAAGCCUGCAUUGAAAUACAUGCAGGUAACACUUCUUUGUCUGUGCCAGCAUAAAAUUGUGUAUACUAAUGAGAUACCUGGACUAUCUUGCAACGGAAGGUACCCCUCAGGCAACUGACAUGACCUCAGUUUUUUUAGGUCAUUUCAACUGCAUGGCAGUGAUGUUGUGAUGGCAGGCUCGCUGUUAACAUUACUACCUUUCCUGUAGUGUAAUAUUUGUUAUUUAUAGUCACUCUAGAAAGAUCCUCUCUUAUUCGCUGCUACGUUAUAUGUUCUUAUUUGCUCUUAUUGAUCCAAAUUGUUUGCUUGGAGAGUUUUUAUAUUGAACUUUGACAAACUGUAAUCCUGUCAGUUAGAUUUAUAAAACAUGACCGAGUUCUAUUUCAAGAUGAUUGUUCUAUUGCAGAAUGUUUUGAUGAAACAACAUAGACUUGCUUGAUGGGAAACUAAAGCCCAGUGGAUUUAUGAGGAACUGCUGGGACCUUGCAGCAUAAAGUUUCAUACCUUCUUACACGGGAGAGUUUAGAGUAAAUUCAGAAUGAUGUCCUUUCUACUUUCAUUGUUACUUUGUUCAUUGAAUGCAAAUGAAUUUUCAAGUAUAAAGAGCAUAAUUUAGCUGUCGAUCUUAAUUUUUGUAGUUUGCAAUAGUGAUUAGUCAAUGGGAUCUUGAAAGGAGUGGAUUUUGUGACCACAGCUGUAUUUGCUCAUGGGAGACUCGGAAUUGUACCACAUGAAUAGCCUGUUUGAAAUUGAGUGUGAAAUUGUGGAGUAUUAUUCGUGCAUGGUUGGUCAUAUCAUCCCGAACCACCCGAUUCGAAGCAUACUGAAUUAAACUAAUGAGAAAUCGGGAUGGCCUGCCCUGUCGGCUCAGUAAACAUCACCAGCAAGCAUCCCCCUCUCUUUCUGUGGGUUAGGUUUAAGGUUAGGAUUUCCCUUGGCCCUCCCCAUUCCUCCCAACCACCCUUCCUCCAUCUCUUGCUGCAUUAGUGUUAGGGUUAAGGCCCUUCCGCCUCCCUCUCUAUCAAUAUCUUACUUCAUCUCUCCUUUUCUUCCUCUCCCUCUCCUUCUCCUUCUCCCUCUCCUUGUCCCUCUCCCUAUUUUCGAUACACUCUAAAACAAACCAAUGUCGUGCCGAAUUGGUUGCUGGAUGGUAAUGCCUUUUGGUACCAGUACAGUGAACAUUGAUACCAUCUUUCCUAUGUGGUCACUAUACCAAAUAAGAGAUAGUUAGUGGUGCCAUAGAGCAAGAGAUUGAGUGAAACAAUGUUGGAAGGUGGUAGUUUGCUUGUUAUCCUAGAUGAUAAUUUGCAAACAUUAUCUUUGGGCAUGUUUGAUGGAGAGAUAUGUUUAAUAUGCUCAUAAUUUAGGAGGAUUCCUGAAGGAAAAAAUUAGUAGUGUGCCACCUGGUGUAGGGAAGUCAUUGAGAGUUAUUACCAAUGACUUGGAUUUGAGUCUUGCCCUUCCCUAAUUUUUGGCUAGCCUUCCUUUUGUCUAGUUCCCACAAAAAAUGAAAAAAAGAAGCAAAAGAAGAAUUGGUACAUGAAAUCUGAAAAUUUAUAUUUGCUUGCAUACUCCAUCAAUAUGCAAAACUAAAAAUUGAGGGCUUGAUAGAUGCACUCUUGGAAGGCAAUUUAUUCCUUACCCACUGUGUGCCAGCCUUGUAAACCUUUUGCACCAUGUCAAUUAGAUAUAUUGUAUUAAAAUCUUGAAAGGCUUUAGCUGGGGCACUUCUUCCAUGAAAAAUGAUAUCAUAUUAAAAAUUAGCUAACAGUUGUGGCAUGAAUUAAUUGCAUUUACUUGAAGACUGAAGUAGAAUGCCUUUUUAUUUUCUCUAUAUGCAAUUGGAUGUAUUUGAAUGCAUGCUAACUGCUAAGAUCUUUUUAUUUUUUUCGUUUUGUUAGCGUAGAAUAAAACAUUGGUAUCACAACUACAACAGGAGUAACAUCUUGUUGUGUUAUCAGUUCAAUUUAACCUUCUGCUUCUAGACAAUUGCAUAACUUUUCACAAAUUUUCACUGCUGGAGAUAAAAGAUAUAAAUUAGAGGGAAAGCCAAUAAAAAUUGCAGAAACUAUCUUAAGGAACUUCUACUUAGGGGUGUAAGUGGAUUGAAAAAAAUCCAAAAUCCAAACCGAGCCAAAUUGAACUAGAGGAUUGGAUCGGAUUUUGGUUUUGGAUUUGGAGUCAAUUUUUAAAAAUUUUGGACGUUGGACUUGGAUUUGGAUUUAAUGUUAUCAAAUCCAAAUCCAAUCCAAAGUCCAAACCAUGGGUCCAAACCAAAUCCAAUCCAUUCUUCUAGUUUGGACUUUUGGAUUUUACACACACACACACACAUAUAUAUAUAUAUACAUAUACAUAUACAUACAUAUACACAUACAUAAUAUGUGCGUGUAUUCAAGUUUAGUUUCUUUUUAAUGUUAUGGAACUUAUUAUAUUUUAGUGAUGUAGUUUUUCUUGAAAAUCUAAAACUUAUGUUUUUGACAUGAUGCUAUUAUAGCACGACUUGUUGAGAUCCUUGGUAUUGAAAUUUAUAUUUUUUUAUUUCUUAUCCAUUGCUAUUAUAAUGUUAGUUGUUAGAUGUAGGGUGAUAUUAUAGAGUACCUAUAAGUAGUAUAUACUUCGAAUUCAUAUAACUUGCUUUUGAAUUAUGAUUCAAAUUAUAGUCUAAUGUAUGUAAAAAUUCAAAAAUCUAGUCCAACCCAAUCCAAACUUUUCGAACUGGAUUGGAUUGGAUUAGUAGAGUAUUUGGUUUGUUUUGGUGCUAAGUUUCUAAAUCUAAAAUAUUUUGGAUUGGAGUUGGAUUUAGGUAUAAUCCAAUCCAAUCCAGUCCAUUUACACCCCUAUUUUUACUUUGCAUAGGCACUGUUCAACUUUUAGAUUGGAGUAAUUUUGCAACUUCCGUUCAUGUUUUUAAUCUUUGAGAUGCCAGAUCUUGUGCCAUGCUUUGCUCCAUUGAUUCUGUAGCUCUCCAACGGCUGGUCACUGGAGUACAGUUAAAUAUACUUUUUAGAACCUUCUGCUUCUUGGCAAUCUCAUUGCAAACCUUCUUAGCCUCCUUGAAUUUCCCACCUUACAGAAGCCAUAAAUCAGUUGGAGACUAGUCACCACUGGACUUCAUACCUUUUGACCUCAUCUUAACCAUCAGGACCGUUGCUUCGAUCCAUUUCUUCAUUCUGCUGUCUUUUAAUCCUAAAAUUAUAUAUGAAUGGAGUUGGUGGGCAGCCGUUCUGUCAUUGGUUUCAAAACCCUUUCAAACUCAUCAUACUUCUCUUCCAUAUAAAAUCCUUGGAUCGGGAUAUGGUUUGUCAUUUGAUCAGGUAAGCAGCCAUUCUUCAUAUGCAUCUCUUCCAAAAUGGCAUAUCCAGAUGCUCUUUGACCUAGGCAGCUAUAGACAAACUGCAUACAUGGUAUAUGGAGACAUCAAGUUCAAUUCCAUGCAUUCAUGCAUGUUCUAGAAAUGCAUGAUUCACUCCCUCAAUAUUCAUUUUCUGCACACAUAUCUUGAUCAGCUCCUCCGGUGGUCUGCUGUUGGUGCAGACACCUUGACGUUCCAUCUCCCAAAGGUGCAUGAUGCUUGAUAUGGUAUCUGUUGGCUGGCAUAUAGGUAGAUCAUAUAACAGAAGAACCCCUUGCUCUGAAGCUUUGGGCAUGGGCAGGACUUCAGGUGUUUGAUCAUGGAAACAUUGGUGCAGGAUGAUGUGUGUUUUGUUUCCUUGUGCUUUGUGGUUGAGAUCCAGACUCUUUUUAUAGGACUGUUUGGAGCAGGUUGCAUUUUGGUGAUUAUCCAAGUGAAGCUGGGAGCUGUGACCUUGUUGGACAGGGUAGGCUCCUUAUUGUGAUUGAUGGAGUGGUUUUGAAAGAUAUGAUUGUUGUUGAGCAAAGAGGUUCAUUGGCUUAAGGAGAUAUGGGCACUCAGAAGGCAAGAAAGAAGCAAGACUUCAGUAUAGCUGGCAAGAUUUGUUUAUAACUUAGUCAUAUGAUAAUUUGGAUAAAUUAUAUUAUAAUUUUGAUAAUGUGGGUAAAUUGUAUUCAAAUUUUGAUAACUUGGGUAUGUUGUUUUCAAAUUUUGAUGAGAGAAUUAGGUGGGAAAAGGUAAGUGUAAAUGAUGGAAUCAGGUUCAUACAAUCUACAUGUGAAUUGAUGGAAACUAGUUCAUCCAAGCUUUCUGAUUCGUUUGGACAUUGCCAAAUUGUACUUUGUUUGCUCGGAUAGCUUGGGUGAGCAGUUAAGCAUGAUGGGUGCUAAAACAAGCACACGUCUCUGAUGUGG
RNAcentral lists this long non-coding RNA (4621 nucleotides) under Elaeis guineensis (African oil palm). Its description in RNAcentral is "long non-coding RNA (EGUI_LNC014907)". Lineage: Eukaryota; Viridiplantae; Streptophyta; Magnoliopsida; Arecales; Arecaceae. The record is from RNAcentral.